Molecule: long non-coding RNA, 748 nt
Filed under: Phoenix dactylifera (date palm)
Lineage: Eukaryota; Viridiplantae; Streptophyta; Magnoliopsida; Arecales; Arecaceae
Description: long non-coding RNA (PDAC_LNC018666)
Source: RNAcentral
CCAUCAGCAAUUUAUGACUUUUAGCCAUUCUUAUUUUAGAACUCUGUUCCCCAGACAUCUUUAGUAUUGGCAAAGGAGAUUGCCUCUUAUUUGUGAGAUUUGUGUUCUUGUUCCUCAGUUCUAGAGACUAUGGAGAAAGAAGUUGGGAGUAAUUUACUCUUAUGUUACUGGACUCGCAGAUUGUGCUGUUGUAUGUUUGACAUCAUUCUUAGAGCAGCUGCACUAACCCCAUUAACCUCUUCUUUGUUUUUAUUUUAAGGUGGAUUUCAUAUGUGCAGCAUCUUAAGGUUCAUUGACAUGAUCAACGCAGCAACUAGCUCCACACCAAACACAAACCUACUUGCCUCUGCAGAAUUCUAUAUUUGAGGAAAGCACAGGAACCAUCCAUCCUUGUCGUCCGAGAAUGGAGCAGCUUUGUCGCAACGAUGAAGAUAAGACAUGAUUAACUGAAGCAGAAAACCUCAAAAGGAUUCCUAACCAUAACCACAGAGCCAUGCCUCAACUUUGUCAAAUAAAUUAGUUCAUCAGCAGCCCUUUUCUUUGUCAAUACAUUCCUUUCUUGUCUCCAGGCAAAUCCCUUGUCACAGCAUUCACCUGGAACAUAUAGGUCUUUCUGCUGCAACCUUCCGCAAUGAAUCCUAGUCCCUUUUCUUUUGCACUAGAGUACUUGGACAACUAUGAUGCUGACUGUAUUAGGUAACAGUUAACAAUGACGGACGAGUCUUUGGAGCUUGUUACAGUAUGCGAC